RNAcentral lists this ribosomal RNA (726 nucleotides) under uncultured Bacilli bacterium. Its description in RNAcentral is "bacterial SSU rRNA". It matches the Rfam family "Bacterial small subunit ribosomal RNA", at positions 48 to 755 of the family's 1533-position model. Lineage: Bacteria; Bacillati; Bacillota; Bacilli. The record is from RNAcentral.
CUAAUACAUGCAAGUCGAGCGGACCGACGGGAGCUUGCUCCCUUAGGUCAGCGGCGGACGGGUGAGUAACACGUGGGUAACCUGCCUGUAAGACUGGGAUAACUCCGGGAAACCGGGGCUAAUACCGGAUGCUUGAUUGAACCGCAUGGUUCAAUCAUAAAAGGUGGCUUUUAGCUACCACUUGCAGAUGGACCCGCGGCGCAUUAGCUAGUUGGUGAGGUAACGGCUCACCAAGGCGACGAUGCGUAGCCGACCUGAGAGGGUGAUCGGCCACACUGGGACUGAGACACGGCCCAGACUCCUACGGGAGGCAGCAGUAGGGAAUCUUCCGCAAUGGACGAAAGUCUGACGGAGCAACGCCGCGUGAGUGAUGAAGGUUUUCGGAUCGUAAAACUCUGUUGUUAGGGAAGAACAAGUACCGUUCGAAUAGGGCGGUACCUUGACGGUACCUAACCAGAAAGCCACGGCUAACUACGUGCCAGCAGCCGCGGUAAUACGUAGGUGGCAAGCGUUGUCCGGAAUUAUUGGGCGUAAAGCGCGCGCAGGCGGUUUCUUAAGUCUGAUGUGAAAGCCCCCGGCUCAACCGGGGAGGGUCAUUGGAAACUGGGGAACUUGAGUGCAGAAGAGGAGAGUGGAAUUCCACGUGUAGCGGUGAAAUGCGUAGAGAUGUGGAGGAACACCAGUGGCGAAGGCGACUCUCUGGUCUGUAACUGACGCUGAGGCGCG